RNAcentral lists this ribosomal RNA (484 nucleotides) under uncultured bacterium. RNAcentral's name for it is "partial 16S ribosomal RNA". It matches the Rfam family "Bacterial small subunit ribosomal RNA", at positions 30 to 507 of the family's 1533-position model. The record is from RNAcentral.
AUUGAACGCUGGCGGCAGGCCUAACACAUGCAAGUCGAGCGGAUGAAGGGAGCUUGCUCCUGGAUUCCGCGGCGGACGGGUGAGUAAUGCCUAGGAAUCUGCCUUGUAGUUGGGGAUAACGUCCGUAAACGGGCGCUAAUACCGCAUACGUCCUUAGGGAGAAAGUGGGGGAUCUUCGGACCUCACGCUAUCAGAUGAGCCUAGGUCGGAUUAGCUAGUUGGUGGGGUAAAGGCCUACCAAGGCGACGAUCCGUAACUGGUCUGAGAGGAUGAUCAGUCACACUGGAACUGAGACACGGUCCAGACUCCUACGGGAGGCAGCAGUGGGGAAUAUUGGACAAUGGGCGAAAGCCUGAUCCAGCCAUGCCGCGUGUGUGAAGAAGGUCUUCGGAUUGUAAAGCACUUUAAGUUGGGAGGAAGGGCAGUAAGUUAAUACCUUGCUGUUUUGACGUUACCAACAGAAUAAGCACCGGCUAACUUCGUG